RNAcentral lists this ribosomal RNA (435 nucleotides) under uncultured fungus. RNAcentral describes it as "LSU rRNA". It matches the Rfam family "Eukaryotic large subunit ribosomal RNA", at positions 38 to 469 of the family's 3401-position model. The record is from RNAcentral. Lineage: Eukaryota; Fungi.
GCAUAUCAAUAAGCGGAGGAAAAGAAAAUAACAAUGAUUCCCUUAGUAACGGCGAGUGAAGGGGGAAAAGCUCAAAUUUUAAAUCUGCUAGGUUUUAUUUAUCAGAAUUGUAAUUUGAAGAAGCGUUUUCCGCGUCUCGGUUGGCCCAAAUCCUUUGGGAUAAGGUAUCAUGGAGGGUGAGAAUCCCGUUCGGUUGACCUUAUGACGCUCUACGAUACGCUCUCUAAGAGUCGAGUUGUUUGGGAUUGCAGCUCAAAAUGGGAGGUAAAUUUCUCCUAAGGCUAAAUAUCGGCGAGAGACCGAUAGCGAACAAGUACCGUGAGGGAAAGAUGAAAAGAACUUUGAAAAGAGAGUAAAAUAGUACGUGAAAUUGUUGAAAGGGAAACGAUUGAAGUCAGUCGUACCGACGAGAAAUCAACUUAUCGUGUGCGAACU